UACGGAGGGUGCGAGCGUUAAUCGGAAUCACUGGGCGUAAAGGGCGCGUAGGCGGCCUGGUAAGUCAGGGGUGAAAUCCCACGGCUCAACCGUGGAAUUGCCUUUGAAACUGCUGGGCUUGGAUCCUGGAGAGGGUGGCGGAAUUCCUGGUGUAGGAGUGAAAUCCGUAGAUAUCAGGAGGAACACCGGUGGCGAAGGCGGCCACCUGGACAGGUAUCGACGCUGAGGCGCGAAAGUGUGGGGAGCAAACAGG
Molecule: ribosomal RNA, 253 nt
Filed under: uncultured microorganism
Description: partial 16S ribosomal RNA
Rfam family: Bacterial small subunit ribosomal RNA
Source: RNAcentral